GCAGGUCGAAAGGAACCCGAAGCCUCUGGAGCGCAGCGGGAGUUCCCACUGUGCUCCAGAGGCUUCAGGUUCCCUUCACUGAAGC
Molecule: microRNA precursor, 85 nt
Filed under: Podarcis lilfordi (Lilford's wall lizard)
Lineage: Eukaryota; Metazoa; Chordata; Lepidosauria; Squamata; Lacertidae
Source: RNAcentral